Molecule: long non-coding RNA, 232 nt
Filed under: Gossypium barbadense (sea-island cotton)
Lineage: Eukaryota; Viridiplantae; Streptophyta; Magnoliopsida; Malvales; Malvaceae
Description: long non-coding RNA (GBAR_LNC008633)
Source: RNAcentral
AAUGUCAAGGCAUUGGGUGACAUGUUCUAAUUAAAGACCUUUAUCCAAUUAGCAUAUAUAUUUAUUUGAUGCUAAGGACUUGAGAAGGGACAAAAGGAAACAGAAAUCCCAUAGCUUUAUGCCACAUAUAAGCUAGGGCUUAUGCAUAUUGACACUAGUCAUAUGCAGCUUUUAUAAAAAAGCAUAAUAAUCUAAGCAAGAAAUACAUAUAUAAAUAUAUAGGACAAAUGGA